AUUGAACGCUGGCGGCAGGCCUAACACAUGCAAGUCGAACGAGUGGCGGACGGGUGAGUAAUGUCUGGGCAACUGUCCGAUGGAGGGGGAUAACUAUUGGAAACGGUAGCUAAUACCGCAUACCAUCGGAUGUGCCCAGAUGGGAUUAGCUAGUAGGUGGGGUAACGGCUCACCUAGGCGACGAUCCCUAGCUGGUCUGUGAGGAUGAUCGGCCACACUGGAACUGAGACACGGUCCAGACUCCUACGGGAGGCAGCAGUGGGGAAUAUUGCGCAAUGGGCGCAAGCCUGAUGCAGCCAUGCCGCGUGUAUGAAGAAGGCCUUCGGGUUGUAAAGUACUUUCAGCAGGGAGGCGUUACUCGCAGAAGAAGCACCGGCUAACUCCGUGCCAGCAGCCGCGGUAAUAC
This 406-nucleotide ribosomal RNA is filed under the name uncultured bacterium. RNAcentral's name for it is "partial 16S ribosomal RNA". It matches the Rfam family "Bacterial small subunit ribosomal RNA", at positions 30 to 526 of the family's 1533-position model. The record is from RNAcentral.